UGCGAAAUAAUUGAACUGGGUGGCCUUAUUCUGGCUGAGUUAUGGUCGUUACUGGCCAUAAGACUACACUCUCUGCAGAACUGUAAACUACAGGGCACAGGUGCUGUCUUGUCAUUCAGUUCUCUAAAUGAAUCAUAGUGACUAGUCAACAUGAUGCCAUUGCCAGUGCUUCUUUUGUCAAUAAAUAGUACCCACUAAGGCAGGCUGCUUGUCUGAGCAGAGUGGAGGGCUUUACCAACCAUAUAAUUUAGAGAAUCAAAUGGCGCUGGUUUAGAAGGCCCCUUUACCUUUACUUUGCUUCUGAAACUGUGUCAGAGCAAUGAAUUUGCUACGAAAUCUAGCCCUAGACGGACAUACAGUUUCUGAAUAUUUUAUCUGAUAAGCUACAAAAGCUACUAUAAAUUGCCAGGUAUGCUCAAACUAUCCAUGAUCAAUAUUUUCCUUCGGCGACACAAGCCCCUUCUCUUCUUUUUGCCCUUUCCCUAAAUCGGCCGACAUUCGGCUGGUCAAAACCUGCCACCCCCAUAGGAAGGUCAACAAGUUACAGGAAGAUAAGACUUUUUUUAGGCCAUGGUUCGAUGUUAUGUUAUAAGGUCGAUCUUGAAUUUAUAUCCAUUCAAAUAGUAUUACAUUAGGUUCUCGAGCACGCGGUUAAUUAAAAUCAAACUUUUACCAGCCCUAUCCUGCCUAUCAAAGGGCAAACAAUACCAUAAAUCAUAUCCCAGCUCUGGCUUCUCCCUGUUU
This 744-nucleotide long non-coding RNA is filed under the name Populus trichocarpa (black cottonwood). Its description in RNAcentral is "long non-coding RNA (PTRI_LNC001762)". The record is from RNAcentral. Lineage: Eukaryota; Viridiplantae; Streptophyta; Magnoliopsida; Malpighiales; Salicaceae.